RNAcentral lists this ribosomal RNA (813 nucleotides) under Salmonella enterica subsp. enterica serovar Gaminara. RNAcentral's name for it is "partial 23S ribosomal RNA". It matches the Rfam family "Bacterial large subunit ribosomal RNA", at positions 470 to 1262 of the family's 2925-position model. Lineage: Bacteria; Pseudomonadati; Pseudomonadota; Gammaproteobacteria; Enterobacterales; Enterobacteriaceae. The record is from RNAcentral.
AUACUCCUGACUGACCGAUAGUGAACCAGUACCGUGAGGGAAAGGCGAAAAGAACCCCGGCGAGGGGAGUGAAAAAGAACCUGAAACCGUGUACGUACAAGCAGUGGGAGCACCCUUUGGGGUGUGACUGCGUACCUUUUGUAUAAUGGGUCAGCGACUUAUAUUCUGUAGCAAGGUUAACCGAAUAGGGGAGCCGGAGGGAAACCGAGUCUUAAUUGGGCGUUAAGUUGCAGGGUAUAGACCCGAAACCCGGUGAUCUAGCCAUGGGCAGGUUGAAGGUUGGGUAACACUAACUGGAGGACCGAACCGACUAAUGUUGAAAAAUUAGCGGAUGACCUGUGGCUGGGGGUGAAAGGCCAAUCAAACCGGGAGAUAGCUGGUUCUCCCCGAAAGCUAUUUAGGUAGCGCCUCGUGAAUUCAUCUCCGGGGGUAGAGCACUGUUUCGGCUAGGGGGCCAUCCCGGCUUACCAACCCGAUGCAAACUGCGAAUACCGGAGAAUGUUAUCACGGGAGACACACGGCGGGUGCUAACGUCCGUCGUGAAGAGGGAAACAACCCAGACCGCCAGCUAAGGUCCCAAAGUCAUGGUUAAGUGGGAAACGAUGUGGGAAGGCCCAGACAGCCAGGAUGUUGGCUUAGAAGCAGCCAUCAUUUAAAGAAAGCGUAAUAGCUCACUGGUCGAGUCGGCCUGCGCGGAAGAUGUAACGGGGCUAAACCAUGCACCGAAGCUGCGGCAGCGAACGUAUCACUUAAAGCGAUUCAGCGGAUGACGAUUGACGGAGCGAAGCGACGUCAAAGCGUAUACAAAGUCGA